AGGGCGCAUGGCGGAUGCCUUGGCUCUCGGAGGCGAUGAAGGACGUGAUAAGCUGCGAUAAGCUUCGGGUAGGUGCAAAUGACCUUUGAUCCGAAGAUUUCCGAAUGGGACAACCCGGCAUUCUGAAGGAAUGUCAUCCAACCUGGUUGGAGGCUAACGCAGGGAACUGAAACAUCUUAGUACCUGCAGGAAAAGAAAAUAAAUAAUGAUUCCCCUAGUAGUGGCGAGCGAACGGGGAUUAGCCCAAACCACCCAUGUUACGGCAUGUGUGGGGUUGUAGGACCACGCUCUCGCAAGACAGUUAUUGAGAAGAAACGACUGGAAAGUCGUGCCAUAGACGGUGAUAGCCCGGUAUUCUAAGGUAACCGAAGCGUAGUGGUAUCCUGAGUAGCGCGGAGCACGAGGAAUUCUGCGUGAAUCAGCCGGGACCAUCCGGUAAGGCUAAAUACUCCCGAGAGACCGAUAGCGAACCAGUACUGUGAAGGAAAGGUGAAAAGCACUUCGAAUAGAAGAGUGAAAUAGUCCCUGAAACCAUGCGCCUACAAGCGGUCGGAGCAGCUUAAGCUGUGACGGCGUGCCUUUUGCAUAAUGAACCUACGAGUUACUUUUUCCGGCAAGGUUAAGCAUCUUGAGAUGUGGAUCCGAAGCGAAAGCGAGUCUGAACAGGGCGGAUAGUCGGAAGGAGUAGACGCGAAACCAAGUGAUCUACCCUUGGGCAGGUUGAAGGUUAGGUAACACUAACUGGAGGACCGAACCGAUAAGCGUUGAAAAGCUUCCGGAUGACCUGAGGGUGGGGGUGAAAGGCUAAUCAAACUUGGAGAUAGCUCGUACUCCCCGAAAUGCAUUUAGGUGCAGCCUUGAGAGUUACUAAUGUGAGGUAGAGCGACUGAUAAGAUGCGAGGGCUUCACCGCCUAUCAAGUCUUGAUAAACUCCGAAUGCGCAUUAGUUCUAUCUCAGGAGUGAGGGCAUGGGUGCUAAGGUCCAUGUCCUAAAGGAGAAGAAUCCAGACCAUCAGCUAAGGUCCCCAAAUAAACACUAAGUUGAACUAACGAAGUCAGAUUGCUAAGACAGCUAGGAUGUUGGCUUGGAAGCAGCCAUUCAUUUAAAGAGUGCGUAACAGCUCACUAGUCGAGGAGUUUGGCGUGGAUAAUAAUCGGGCAUUAAGUGUUUUACCGAAGCUAUGGGAUACGUAAGUAUCGGUAGGGGAGCAUUCCACUCUGCGUUGAAGGCGNNNNNNNNNNGCUCACUAGUCGAGGAGUUUGGCGUGGAUAAUAAUCGGGCAUAAGUGUUUUACCGAAGCUAUGGGAUCCUAACGGAUCGGUAGGGGAGCAUUCCACUCUGCGUUGAAGGCUAAGCGUGAGCUUUACUGGAGCGUGUGGAAAAGCAAAUGUAGGUAUAAGUAACGAUAAAGGGGGUGAGAAACCCCCUCGCCGCAAGACUAAGGUUUCCUGAUCAACGCUAAUCGGAUCAGGGUUAGUCGGGUCCUAAGGCUCAGCCGAACGGUGAGGCCGAUGGCAGAACAGGUUAAUAUUCCUGUACUACCUGUAGGAGUGAUGUGGAGACGGAGGAGUGACAACGCCGCGGACUGACGGAAUAGUCCGUUAAAGGGUGUAGAUGUUGAUUAUCCCAGGCAAAUCCGGGAUAAGAGUCGAACCUGAUAGUAUACCAAUUUCCCCGGAAAACGGUAAUAGUGCGUGUAAACAUACUCCCAAGAAAAUCCGCUAAACUUAAUCUUAUAGGUACCCGUACCGUAAACGGACACACGUAGUCGGGUUGAAUAUACUCAGGCGCUUGAGUGAAUCACGGUUAAGGAACUAGGCAAAUUGACCCUGUAACUUCGGGAUAAAGGGUCCCUACCCGGUGACGGGAGGGCGCAGAGAAUAGGUCCAGGCAACUGUUUAACAAAAACACAGGGCUGUGCAAAAUUGAAAGAUCACGUAUACAGCCUGACACCUGCCCGGUGCUGGAAGGUUAAGAGGAGAUGUCAUCGCAAGAGAAGCAUUGAAUUGAAGCCCCAGUAAACGGCGGCCGUAACUAUAACGGUCCUAAGGUAGCGAAAUUCCUUGUCGGGUAAGUUCCGACCUGCACGAAUGGUGUAAUGAUCUGGACACUGUCUCAACCGUGAGCUCAGUGAAAUUGUAGUAUCGGUGAAGAUGCCGAUUACCCGCGAUGGGACGAAAAGACCCCGUGAACCUUUACUAUAGCUUAACAUUGAAUUUGGGUAAUUGAUGUGUAGGAUAGGCCGGAGACUUUGAAGCAGGCACGCCAGUGUUUGUGGAGUCGCUGUUGAAAUACGGCCCUUUGGUUAUUUGAGUUCUAACUCGCUGAUGUGAGGACACUGUUUGGUGGGUAGUUUGACUGGGGUGGUCGCCUCCAAAAGCGUAACGGAGGCUUCUAAAGGUGCCCUCACGCCGAUUGGUAACCGGCGGUAGAGUGUAAUGGCAUAAGGGCGCUUGACUGGGAGACUUACAAGUCGAUCAGGUAGGAAACUAGAGCAUAGUGAUCCGGUGUUUCCGUAUGGAAGGGACAUCGCUCAAAGGAUAAAAGGUACUCCGGGGAUAACAGGCUGAUCCCUCCCAAGAGCUCAUAUCGACGGAGGGGUUUGGCACCUCGAUGUCGGCUCGUCACAUCCUGGGGCUGGAGAAGGUCCCAAGGGUUGGGCUGUUCGCCCAUUAAAGUGGCACGCGAGCUGGGUUCAGAACGUCGUGAGACAGUUCGGUCUCUAUCUAUCGUGGGCGUAUGAAAUUUGCGUGGCUCUGACACUAGUACGAGAGGACCGUGUUGGACUGACCUCUGGUUUACCGGUUGUGCCGCCAGGUGCAUUGCCGGGUAUCUAAGUCGGGAUUGGAUAAGUGCUGAAAGCAUCUAAGUACGAAGCCAGCCACAAGAUUAGAUUUCUUUCAGGGUCGUUGUAGACUACAACGUUGAUAGGACGCAGGUGUACAGGUGGUAACAUCACAGCCGAGCGUUACUAAUUGCCCGAUGACUUUCUUUU
This 2996-nucleotide ribosomal RNA is filed under the name Bacteroides fragilis. RNAcentral describes it as "bacterial LSU rRNA". It matches the Rfam family "Bacterial large subunit ribosomal RNA". The record is from RNAcentral. Lineage: Bacteria; Pseudomonadati; Bacteroidota; Bacteroidia; Bacteroidales; Bacteroidaceae.